CCUACGGGGGGCAGCAGCAAGGAAUUUUCCGCAAUGGGCGAAAGCCUGACGGAGCAACGCCGCGUGCGGGAUGACGCUUUUCGGAGUGUAAACCGCUUUUCUCAGGGAAACGGUACCUGAGGAAUAAGGCCCGGCUAACUACGUGCCAGCAGCCGCGGUAAUACGUAGGGGCCGAGCGUUGUCCGGAGUUAUUGGGCGUAAAGCGCGCGCAGGCGGCUUGGCGCGCCCGACGUGAAAGCCCCCGGCUUAACCGGGGAGAGUCGUCGGGUACGGCCAGGCUUGAGGGCGGGAGAGGUUGGUGGAAUUCCCGGUGUAGUGGUGAAAUGCGUAGAGAUCGGGAGGAACACCUGUGGCGAAGGCGGCCGACUGGGCCGACCUGACGCUGAGGCGCGAAGGCGGGGGAGCGAACGGGAUUAAUACCCUUGUAGUC
RNAcentral lists this ribosomal RNA (430 nucleotides) under uncultured bacterium. RNAcentral's name for it is "partial 16S ribosomal RNA". It matches the Rfam family "Bacterial small subunit ribosomal RNA", at positions 338 to 795 of the family's 1533-position model. The record is from RNAcentral.